RNAcentral lists this ribosomal RNA (113 nucleotides) under Acanthosepion pharaonis. Lineage: Eukaryota; Metazoa; Mollusca; Cephalopoda; Sepiida; Sepiidae. The record is from RNAcentral.
UUACGGCCAUAUCACGUUCAAACAUCGGUUCUCAUACGAUUCACCGAAGUUAUGCAACGUCGAGCCUGAUCGUACCUAGAUGGGUGACCGCUUGGGAAUACCAGGUGCUGUAC